This 739-nucleotide ribosomal RNA is filed under the name Nocardioides sp. I12A-00371. Its description in RNAcentral is "bacterial SSU rRNA". It matches the Rfam family "Bacterial small subunit ribosomal RNA", at positions 91 to 848 of the family's 1533-position model. The record is from RNAcentral. Lineage: Bacteria; Bacillati; Actinomycetota; Actinomycetes; Propionibacteriales; Nocardioidaceae.
UCGAGCGGCGAACGGGUGAGUAACACGUGAUAAUCUGCCCCAUGCUUCGGGAUAGCCACUCGAAAGGGUGAUUAAUACCGGAUAUGACAUGCCUUGGAUCAGGGUGUGUGGAAAGUUUUUUCGGCGUGGGAUGUGCUCGCGGCCUAUCAGCUUGUUGGUGGGGUAAUGGCCUACCAAGGCUUCGACGGGUAGCCGGCCUGAGAGGGUGACCGGCCACACUGGGACUGAGACACGGCCCAGACUCAUACGGGAGGCAGCAGUGGGGAAUAUUGGACAAUGGGCGGAAGUGAUCCAGCAACCCGCGUGAGGGAUGACGGCCUUCGGGUUGUAAACCUCUUUCAGCACAGACGAAGCGCAAGUGACGGUAUGUGCAGAAGAAGGACCGGCCAACUACGUGCCAGCAGCCGCGGUAAUACGUAGGGUCCGAGCGUUGUCCGGAAUUAUUGGGCGUAAAGGGCUCGUAGGCGGUUUGUCGCGUCGGGAGUGAAAACUCAGGGCUUAACUCUGAGCUUGCUUCCGAUACGGGCAGACUUGAGGCAUGCAGGGGAGAACGGAAUUCCUGGUGUAGCGGUGAAAUGCGCAGAUAUCAGGAGGAACACCGGUGGCGAAGGGGUUCUCUGGGCAUGUUCUGACGCUGAGGAGCGAAAGUGUGGGGAGCGAACAGGAUUAGAUACCCUGGUAGUCCACACCGUAAACGUUGGGCGCUAGGUGUGGGAUCCAUUCCACGGGUUCCGUGCCG